RNAcentral lists this long non-coding RNA (561 nucleotides) under Mus pahari (shrew mouse). RNAcentral describes it as "lncRNA (MGP_PahariEiJ_G0005991.1)". Lineage: Eukaryota; Metazoa; Chordata; Mammalia; Rodentia; Muridae. The record is from RNAcentral.
GAUAUCUAGCAGGGAAGGACCAUGUCACCUCUGUACCUGGGGCUGGAGAGAUGGCCAGAGGUUGAGUGUUUGCUCUUCCUGAGAGGAGUCUAAUUUGGUUCCCUGCGCACACAUGGAGUGGCUCACAAUUGCCACUUUAGGGGAUGAUGGAGAACCUGAGGGUGAAUCAAUCAAAGCUAGCAGUUGCGCGCUGCAGAUCCUGAGAAAGAUCUCCUGCAAACGAAAGCAGGAUGCCAAUUCUUCUUGUGGCCCGGCUCCCGUCAGCCCUGGUGACAGAACCCACUUCUCACUAAGCUUUGCUGAGGAGCCUCCUGGGCACUGGGCUGCAUGGCGGCUGAGUCGGCUGAACGCUGAAUUGUCACCCUGUGUGUCUCACGGAAGACGCGUGUUUGCCGACCGUGGGAAUGGCCUGAGCUUGGAGAAGCAUCUUCCGCUUCCCACCUCUGUCUCACUGACUCCAGGAGUCUCAUCCGCCUCCCCUCCCUGGCAGGAAGCCUUCUUUAGUCUCAUCUGUUCCUGAUGCGGUUUCUGUGGUUUCCAAAGAGAGCAGAAAUGCCCAGC